GGGGCAUACNAAGAACUUGACAGAAGAGAGUGAGCACACAGAGGUAAUUGUAUAGAGGCUAUACCUUUACUUUUGCGUGCUCAUUUCUCUUUCCGUCAAGCUUCCGUUGCC
This 111-nucleotide microRNA precursor is filed under the name Eucalyptus globulus. RNAcentral's name for it is "MICRORNA156.4". The stretch from base 17 to 99 matches the Rfam family "mir-156 microRNA precursor family". From Rfam's summary of the family: This family represents the plant microRNA (miRNA) precursor mir-156. Animal miRNAs are transcribed as ~70nt precursors and subsequently processed by the Dicer enzyme to give a ~22nt product. In plants the precursor sequences may be longer, and the carpel factory (caf) enzyme appears to be involved in processing. Lineage: Eukaryota; Viridiplantae; Streptophyta; Magnoliopsida; Myrtales; Myrtaceae. The record is from RNAcentral.